This 1888-nucleotide long non-coding RNA is filed under the name Equus caballus (horse). RNAcentral's name for it is "lncRNA (ENSECAG00000051434.1)". The record is from RNAcentral. Lineage: Eukaryota; Metazoa; Chordata; Mammalia; Perissodactyla; Equidae.
CGUCGCUUCCUCCGUCCCGGCGCGGGCGCGGCGGCGCGGAGCGCUCUGUCGGGAGUGAGGAGGCGCGGGCGCUGCCCGGGGCCGAGGGGCGCCGAGCCCUGCUCACCGCCGCCUUGAGGGGCCGGGGCACCCCGCCCGGGCCAGCGCGCCUCGAGCCACCGGGGCGACGCUGGGACCGUGGUCAGCAGGGUGCCCUUCCCCGACGGGGACGGAACCCCGACGGCGUCCGGGCCGGAAGGGCGGGCGCCCCGGACCGCGAACCUCCCCGCCGGGCAGUUUAGCAGGAGAGGCCUCCCAGGGCCGUUCACACAGGCCCGCGGUUCGCUUAGCAACUCGCGCAUUUUGGAAAAAGAAGUGUCCCACGCCUCGUCCCAGCGGAGGCGGGGGAGCGCGUGCGCCCUCGCGGGGAGGCCGGGGUGCCCCCCGGCGGCAGCCCCGGACCUGCGGGCCCUGCGACGGCCCCGGGGAGGCUUCGUGUGGCCGCCCCUGCGCGUGCGCGUCACACGGCUCGCGGGUGGCGACCCCCGACGCGCACCGCCCGGGAGACUGUUCUCGCCCUCGAGAGGGAGGACCACGCAGGGCCCUCCGCGUGGAUGCUGCUGUCACGUGUUUGUUGACUCGGGGAGAAUCGGAUGCUGGGCCUGCGAAUGUGUCUCCCUGAGAGGCUCUUUCAGAAAUGCACGGGCGCGGUGCUGAGACACCUGGGAUUGGCUGUCACACGAUGCGCUGAGCGAGGGGACGCACGGGGCCCGCAGCUCGUCGUCCUUGGAGCUGGUGAUGGCCCCACGGCGCUACCCCGUCCUCCUCUUGGACGCAUUUGCGCUUCCCUUUAAAAAGUCUUCAUAACAUUCACACCCAGUUCCGGGGAAAGACUUCGAAAUUUGCUACGGUUCUCCCAGCCGUUAGUCUCGCCCUAUCUUUCUUGAUGCUGAAAAAGUUCUUUAAAAAAACGCAGUCAUCUAGAUCACCCUGCAGAUGAGCUUGGCAUUAAAUUCCCGGGAUCACUAAGCUCUACCCGCUUAGACCCGGGCAGGAGAGGCCCCUGUCCUGGACCCCACGCUUUGAAGGACCUUACAUACCGCAAAUACAUCGAUUUAUUAAAAACACGGGGGCCUCGGCCACUCCUGGUCUGAUGCUGAACCCUGGCCCACAGCCAUAAGUGCCCUCUCCCUGGACCAACACUGUCCCGGCCGCUGGGAAACACUUCUUCAUGUCUCUUGUCCUUUGUCUUCAAAACAAAAGGUGGAACCCGGAAGCAGUGAGGAUCUGUGGGUGGGACAGCUGGCCUGGGCAGACAGAGGCUGCUGUGGAGUCCGGGUGGGAUUUGAGCAGCAAAGCGCUUAAAUAGGAAACGUCCAGCGAAAGAGUGAAUGCAUGAUUGGGCCCAUCACAGAUGUGCCACGGGGGUUGACGCUCUGCGUAUGCGACAACGCCGCUCUCCUUUCCUCGUGCUCUUCGUUGGUGCCACAUCUUAGAGCUUGUAAAAUGUCGUCAUUUCAGUUCUGCUUGAUUUAAUUUUCUCACACGACUUUUUAAAUAUUUUCAAAAGAAUUCUUUUGGGCUUGAGUAUAUUCCUUAAAGGAUAAGCUACCUUUUGGAAUAAAAAUAAAAUAAAAUUGGGGCUGGCCCGGAGGUCGAGUGGUUAAGUUUGUGCGCUCCACUUCGGCGGCCCAGGGUUUCACCGGUUUGGACCCUGGGCGCGGACACGGCACCGCUCGUCAGGCCAUGCUGAGGUGGCGUCCCACAUGCCACAACUAGAAGGACCCACAACUAAAAUAUGCAACUCUGUACUGGGGAGAUUUGGGGAGGAAAAAGCAGGAAUAAAGAAAAAGAAGAUUGGCAACAGUUGUUAGCUCAGGUGCCAAUCUUUAAAAAAAAAUAAAAUGGA